Long non-coding RNA from Vigna unguiculata (cowpea), 332 nucleotides. RefSeq lists it as uncharacterized. Lineage: Eukaryota; Viridiplantae; Streptophyta; Magnoliopsida; Fabales; Fabaceae. The record is from RefSeq and is a predicted model, not a curated record.
UCCUUCCACUCUCCUCUGCAACUCCAAACUCUCUUCCAUUCCCUCUCUCUGUGCUGCCAUCUCACCAUUUCCUUUUUCCUACUCAGAUUCUGGAAGAACCAACCAGCAGGAACCUCCGCAGCUUCCUCCCUCAAACCUUCAUUCCCCAAGGUUAAGCUAAAACUCUGCUGUCUUGUAAAUCUGCUUGAGUCCACCAGUUAAAGUCUUGGCAAAAAGAUAAAAGUGCAGGUGAAGGUACACCUUUCCCGGACCGACGUCGAGUGAGUUCCUAGACGUUUCCCAGCUGUAGUAGCCUCUUGUUUCUCUAGUAAAUGUUUAGGAUGUUUUGUAAC